Molecule: ribosomal RNA, 103 nt
Filed under: uncultured bacterium
Lineage: Bacteria
Description: partial 16S ribosomal RNA
Source: RNAcentral
CAACGGCCGACGUGGAGGUAUGAAGGUCCCUUAGGGACGUAGCCUCCUUUCGACUGGGAAGAUAAUGACGGUACCAGUGGAAGAAGCCCGGCUAACUUCGUGC